AGAAUCAACGCUGGCGGCGUGCCUCAGACGUGCAAGUCGAACGCGAAAGUCCCCUUCGGGGGACAAGUAGAGUGGCGCACGGGUGAGUAACACGUAGGUAAUCUACCUUCGGAUGGGGAAUAACAACCGGAAACGGUUGCUAAUACCGCAUAAUGCAGCGGCACCUAAUGGUGACAGUUGUUAAAGCGGGGGAUCGAAAGACCUCGCGUCUGAAGAGGAGCCUGCGGCGGAUUAGCUAGUUGGUAGGUAACGGCCUACCAAGGCGACGAUCCGUA
RNAcentral lists this ribosomal RNA (275 nucleotides) under uncultured soil bacterium. RNAcentral describes it as "partial 16S ribosomal RNA". It matches the Rfam family "Bacterial small subunit ribosomal RNA", at positions 26 to 285 of the family's 1533-position model. The record is from RNAcentral.